This 468-nucleotide ribosomal RNA is filed under the name uncultured bacterium. RNAcentral's name for it is "partial 16S ribosomal RNA". It matches the Rfam family "Bacterial small subunit ribosomal RNA", at positions 28 to 507 of the family's 1533-position model. The record is from RNAcentral.
GACGAACGCUGGCGGCGUGCUUAACACAUGCAAGUCGAACGGAAAGGCCCUGCUUUUGUGGGGUGCUCGAGUGGCGAACGGGUGAGUAACACGUGAGUAACCUGCCCUUGACUUUGGGAUAACUUCAGGAAACUGGGGCUAAUACCGGAUAGGAGCUCCUGCUGCAUGGUGGGGGUUGGAAAGUUUCGGCGGUUGGGGUUGGACUCGCGACUUAUCAGCUUGUUGGUGGGGUAGUGGCUUACCAAGGCUUUGACGGGUAGCCGGCCUGAGAGGGUGACCGGCGACAUUGGGACUGAGAUACGGCCCAGACUCCUACGUGAGACAGCAGUGGGGAAUAUUGCACAAUGGGCGGAAGCCUGAUACGGCAACGCCGCGUGCGUGAUGACGGCCUUCGGGGUGUAAACCGCUUUCGCCUGUGACGAAGCGUGAGUGACGGUAAUGGGUAAAGAAGCACCGGCUAACUACGUG